CUGGCAAGCGCAUUCGCAUAUUUUUGCCUGCUCGUUUUUUUUGUACCUACCUUUAUUCGUCCGUUCGUUCGUUCAUUCCUUCAGCUGUAACUUUUCUUUCUUAAUCUGCUGCCACACGAAGAGGCGACAACUCCAACAUCGGUGCUUCUCCACCUUUCCCUCCUCCUUCUUCUCUCUCUCUUACUCUCUCUCUCUUACUCUCUCUCUCUCUUCCUCUCGCUUUUUCUGCUCCCAUCCUCAAACUCUCAAACGCUGAAUCAGCUGCUGGUGUACGGAUGCUCCUCCUGCCAUUCCCGUGAUCCACACGGGCCAUCUCUCUUGGUCUGCCACUACUGGGCUGUGAAGAGCUGCACCGCUACUACUCUACUGCACCGCUCUCCAUGCUAGAAUGCUUUGCUAAAGCUGGUAAAAUGGAACCAAAUCAACUGUUCUAUGGAUUUGGUCCCCUUCAACCAGCUGUAGCUGUGCAUUGAUCACCUCAAAGAACGGCGACACGGACGGGAGAAGGAAGAUCUGCGACUGUGCCAUCUCAUCGACACACACAUAUAUUUAUAUAUAUAUAUAUAUAUAUAUAUAUAUAUAUAUAUAUAUAUACACACACAUACAUACGAACAUUCAGUAUCUCCCACGACGUCGAUCUGGCAGGGUCUGACAGGAUCUGACUGUCCUGUGGAGCGCGCCUGUAUGGAUUUGCUGAUCCAGCCACAACGGCGGUCCGAUACAUUCCCCGCCGUUCUUUAUGAUGCCUAAUAACAUGAUUAAACACUCUGCGGGUUAUUAAAACCCGGGUGAGUAUUACCCAUGUCAUGCCUUCUGCUAUUUAUGAGCUGUAAUCUCUGAUUAUGUGUUCAAGCCAAAUCACUGUCACCACGGUACGGGGCGGCCGGGCUUUAUGGGUGCCCAUUGAUUUCUUGUCUCUCCGGUGAAAGAGAGAGAGAUGGGGAGGGAUGAGCCGAGAGGGAGGGAUGGAGGCAGGGCUGCUGGACGUCAGGGAUGUUGAAUAAGUAAAGCAAUCGUUCCUUUUCUCCUCUCCUCCCCCCUCCCGACUUCUCUUGUCGCGAUCCUUAAUGCAUGCGUCUGAUCAAUAAAAGCUCAUCCUGAGGUCCA
Molecule: long non-coding RNA, 1107 nt
Filed under: Astyanax mexicanus (Mexican tetra)
Lineage: Eukaryota; Metazoa; Chordata; Actinopteri; Characiformes; Acestrorhamphidae
Description: lncRNA (ENSAMXG00005012666.1)
Rfam family: mir-133 microRNA precursor family (bases 394-465)
Source: RNAcentral